Molecule: long non-coding RNA, 297 nt
Filed under: Homo sapiens (human)
Lineage: Eukaryota; Metazoa; Chordata; Mammalia; Primates; Hominidae
Description: non-protein coding lnc-TRPM6-3:1
Source: RNAcentral
UGGAAUAAGGAAGAACAUUUAUUGGGUGUAUGUAGAAAAGGAAGGACAAUAUCUCAGGAAGGCAUCAGAUUUUGGUGUACCAUUUAAUUAAACCAGCUAUGAAACAAGAGUGGCCCUGGACAGUUUUGGCAACCCAAACAAACUGAAAGUCAGAUAGAGACUGCAGCAUUGCUUCUCUCUCUUCUCCAGUUAGCUUAUUAGGUCCCCCAAAAUCUAUAUGGAAAUUAAGUCAGGUGCAAAUAAGAAACCCAUUAACUCACGAAAACAACAAGAAACCAUACAAAUAAAUUACAGGAA